GGAUGAGAGGAGGCAUCUGUCACCCUGUUGAUUUGUCUGAUCUGUCUAACACAGAUGUCCCCUACCUCCCUCACCACUCCAUGGAGUCUCCAGUCUGCAAGGAGGAGUACCUCCCUCAUAGAGGAGCACCAGUGCUUCCCUUAAGGUUAUAGGAGUUAUCACACUCCCCUUUUAGAACCUCCAAACAAGCUUUCAAAGCCCAUUUCUAAAAGACCAUACAUCAGUCAAUUUUAAAAACAUACACUUCAAAAAAUUUAAAGAACUUU
This is an unclassified non-coding RNA of 266 nucleotides. Its record names the gene 7SK. It matches the Rfam family "7SK RNA". From Rfam's summary of the family: 7SK was discovered as an abundant small nuclear RNA in the mid-70s but a possible function has only recently been suggested. Two independent studies have found that 7SK RNA binds the CDK9/cyclin T complex (known as elongation factor P-TEFb). The record is from Ensembl.